Callithrix jacchus (white-tufted-ear marmoset) is the source of this 4842-nucleotide long non-coding RNA. Lineage: Eukaryota; Metazoa; Chordata; Mammalia; Primates; Cebidae. The record is from Ensembl.
AUGAUCUUGGCUCACUGCAGCCUCCGCCUCCCAAGUUCAAGUGAUUCUCCUGCCUCAGCCUCCUGUACGAGUUCAACUUUAUCAGAUUCCAUGUGCACACAGCUGGGGGACAUCUCCCAGGCUCCCCUGCAGCCAGGUGUGGUCAUGCCAUUGAGGUCCAGCCAGCGAAGCAUGGGCAGAAGUAACAUGUGCCUCUGUCGGCCUGGCCAUUAAGAUCCCUGCAUGAAGUGGAGAUGACACCCAGUGAGACCUUGGAAGUCACAUGAUGAAGAGGCCAGAGCUUUUGUCAGGCAGUGUGGAGGAGGAGCAUCCUGAUGACCCACUCACCCCUCGACAGUUGUGUUUGACUGUGGACCUGUUUUCUCUUUGGCCACUCUGGGCUCAUUUGCAGUUAUAACCUCAUUGCUUCUGCUUGAGCUGUCCUUCCUUUAUCUCAGAUCAUGAGAUCAAGCAUGCCUAAAUUUUCUCCAAGUACCUUGGGAUUCUGAACUCUUGGUACAGAGUCAAGCUGUCCCAGGCUCCUGGAAUGGCAGGGAGCUUUCUGUCACUCUCAUCUUGCCUUUUCCCCUAGCAGUGCAGAAUUAGAUCCAAAAUGGUGCUUCUCUUCAUCAUUCUCUCUGCUUUCUGAGAAAUGGAAUUUUCAUUUUGGUAAGAAUUUGAUAGAAAUGGUAUUUGAAAUUUUAAUAGAAUUGAGAAAAAACAUUCAUAGCCACAGUUGUCUGGUAUGUAAUGAAGGUAGAUCUUGCUGAAUGAAACAUCCUUCUCUGCUACUUGGUGGGUUUAAAUGGCCGAGUUCGGUAGUAGGAACGGUAGAGAAAUAAAUGACUCUACAGAAUAAAGGGGGAAGGAUGUGGAGUUCUGGAAGCAAUACCAAAGGGAAGGAGUAAGGAGGAGAGAUGGGAGAAUGAGGAGAGCAGGCUGGACCACUCCAUGAGGGGAACCAGCCUAAAAUCCUCAUGGGACCGGUUGGCUCAAGAGCUUCUGAGAACAGUGUCUAAUAUUUUAUUUGAGUUGUUGAAUAGAUCUCCACUCCCUUGAGGGGUUAGUACUGGGCUGGACAGGUGUUGGGGUUUACUUGGGUGGUGGCAAAAUAUUAGGGAAAGUUAGAAGAUUAUAGUCUCAAACCUUUGGGAAGGUCAAAAGUUCUGAUGGAACAGGCUGAUGGCAGCCAGUGUUAGAAUUAAGUCAUAGGGUAAAAGAACAAUAAAGUUACCCCAGCUAAGUCUGUUUACCCCACAUUCCUUUGUCUCUACUCUAUUGUUUGCUGAUGUAAACUUUGUGCUGAUGGUCCUCUCAGGGAGAUGUCAAAGGGGAAUUGCCUGUUAACAGUGUUUACUCUGGGCCCUGGAACCAAAAGCUUUUAUCAUUCGUAAAACCACUCUUUUAACCGUGUUAAUUAUCCACAAGUGUGUUACUUAAAACUUCUGUUAUGAAAUUUAUACUGAAUAAAUGUGAGGAUGGAGAGGGAGUCUUGGUCAGUUGGCUGCCAUCAGCCUCCGUAAGCAGCUGACGACCGUCCCUAACCCACCUGAAUCACUGAAUCAGAUGUGAGAGUGCAUUUAUUCAUCCGGCCUUGAGUCAGGGUCUGCAGGACAGACCUCCACAGGUGGUGUCAACAUCUCAGGUGGUGACCCUCAUGUGAACAAGGUCAUAGGUGGUACCUCGUGUAGGGGACCCCAUGUGAGGUGACCCGAUGUGACACUUGCCACAGCUGGUGCCUGAACGGGGACCCACAGACAUGAUCAAGGUCUCAGACAGGGACACCACACAGAUGCUGAGACAGUCCACAAGCUGAAUUCUCCAGAUGCAGGGGCUGAGAACCAGCAGUGACUAUACGUGUGAGCCUCUGCCCGCCUUCUGCCCUGGCCUGCCUCCUGAGAACUUGCCAAACUUUCGAGAAGGAAUUUAGACUUCCAAAGGAUGGUGAAUAGAAGUUUGAACCAAUCUUAUCUAGGGAGGCUCCCAUUGACAUCCAAAUUAUGUAAUAAUCAUGGCCACUAGUAAAAUACUACUACUAUUACUAUCACAAAAAUAAGAAAUUAAGUAGUUAGGUCAGGAAUUUGGCCCGUUCCAACACUGAGGCCAGAGAGAUUACACCGUGUACCUGAGGGACGCUCUGCUCUUGUUCUCAGGUUCUCUGGCUCCUAUUCCUUGUGUCCUCAGUCCUUGCCUGUGAAGAGAGUGCAGUGAGCAGGGUAGCUCCUCACCCUCCUCCUCAGGUACCAGGUGCUCCUGGGCCCUCAAGGUCUCAGCUCUUCCUUGAGCAGCUCCUUCAGGGGCUGUUGGUUUUAUCAAUGACUCAUCUGUCAAAGAGCUGAGCUCAGGGGUACAUAUUGGGGGAGUGAGUUUCCUACUACCUUGGAGACGGUUUUUUUCCUAAUAAGGGGAAGCAUGUGAGAAAUAAGUUCAUUAAUAAGUUCAUCAUCGGUCAUAAAAAUAUUUCAUCUGUUGGCAGAAGGCCUAAAUCUUCGUUCCCAUGAAAGAUUUACUCCUCAAACCAGAUGGAUGAACUAAAGGUUAUGAGACAUUGGGGCCAUCUGGCAGCUAUGGAGAAAGAGUCUGUGGAUCUGACCUACCAUUCUCCUCCUGUCCAGAUAAGGAUGUGUGUUUGUGUGUUGACUGGUGAGGACAGGAGGAGGUUUCCUGAGUACAGAGUGCCAAAGCGUAAAGCCUGAGAUAAAAAGUCAUAAAUAGACCUAGAGCCUGACCCAGUGUCCUUGGGCUGGUAAGACUUGCAGGCCAGGUCCCAGUUGGGGAGGGGGGACUGGGGCUGAGCAGCUGCUGUGGAAAUUUCCAUGGGCUGUCCACUAGCUCUUGGUAAGCUCUUGCACUCGGCAUGGCAUGGGCAGGACAUGGGUUAUGAAAGAGGCACAAGACUUAGUCCAAGCUUAUAAGGAGCUAGGCCCCUAGAGAAAAGACUCUUGCCAAAGAAGCAAGUAAAUAAACAGCUUAGAAAAUCUUGAAACAAAGUUGUAAAUAAGGUCAAGGCAUGGAACCAGUCAAGAAAAGUCAGUAUCACUUUCCAAUUAUUAGAACCUCGUUUCACCUUCUCAGGAAAAUGCUGAAAAUAUGAACUUCGCAUUAAGGUAAAAGUGGAUUUCAUCAUUUUAAAUACUAAUAAAGAGGUCACAAACAAUAUAUUAGUUUUUUUUUUAAGAAAAAUAAUUUUUUUACAGGAGUUUUAAAAUGUGUUUUAUAUUGAGUGGUUAUUUCAUGUUUUCUUAAUUGUACUGAACUAAAAAUAAACUAGGUAGUUUGUUCACAUAACAAAUAUACACUCAAAGACGUGCGUACAAAUUUUCCACUUGUCCAUUUUUCUUUUCUCAGCGUUACUUCAAAUGCCUCAUUCCCAUCAUGUUGAAUUGUUCAGCAUCUUUUGUAUCAUUUCCAGGGCGUCUCUGGGAGUAGCGAUGCCUGUCUUCCCCCAGCACACUGAUAACUCCAACAUACCCACAAUUCACACCUCCUCUUUUCUCUGAUGUGUGCCACUUUUUGGCACAACAGAAAAAACACACUACUAGGAUUUGAAAAACUAAAUUCUGGGCCAGCUUAGGUCAUAUACUACAGAAACCUUAGGUCAUAUAUUCUCCCCAGGCACGUUUCUCCACUGCAAAAAAUAAUUCAUAUUUGCUUGGUUCUUUGUAGUCCUUUACUAUUUCAGGGAUCUUCAUGAUAAAACUUAAAUUUAAGUAAGGUAGCAUUAUGCUCAUUUUAUAGAAGAAAUUCCAUCUCAAAGAGGAUAUAGUCUCCCAAAGAUCCCACAAGUAGUAAUAUAUUAGGCAGAGCUAAACUCACACACUCUCGCUCAAGAUCCUAGUACCGGUACAUGCCAUGCUAGUAAGUUUGCUGAAAUGGAUGAAGCAGCGAUUUUUCAGGUCCCUUCCUACGAUCCUGUUCUCUGCUUCUCCUUGCUAUUUUUUCUCUCCUCUCUCAACUACUGUUAACAUCCAAAACUAUAUAUAAUCACCAAAUUUCAUUUACCAUGGUUUUUUGAUUUAAUCUUAAAAUUUUUCCAUUUCCAUGUUAAAUCUAGAGAAACGUUACUUUUUCAAGUUUCUACUGCUGCCUGCCUCUCUGAAGGCCAAUGGGACCUACCUAUUUGUUUGCCAAAGCAGAAAUUCCCAACAUUUUGUAAACACCACUAAUUACUUUUUAUAACUGUAAAGACAGUUAUUCCAUACUUAAAGCCAAUUCAAAAUAAAAUAAAUCCUCAAUACUUUCUAUUCCCUGGAGUAGUAAUUUUAGUUAGAUUCUAUUGAUUUAUUAUUUUCUCCUGUGUGCCUUUAUUUGAGAAACACUGUUAGUCUACUUUGCUAUCAAGUCUCAUUCCCUAACAAGAAAAUGUCAGUCUUAAGAGUCAGGAAAGCUUUUACUUUCAUAUAUCACAUAUGAAGAAUGAACUAAACAUCAAACUUGGAAAGUAAAACUUAAAUGAGGGAUUCAGGACAUUUCCCAAGGGGUCAUAUGACCAAUUUAAAAGUGGGUUUUGAUGUGCCUAAAAUAACAAAUUAACUCUUUUUCUUAAAGGUACAGAUGUGCUGAUUAGUCAUGCUGACAUGUACGUAUGAAAUAUGCCGAAACCAAAUUAAAAGAAAACAAAAUACAUUCUUUGGCAAUCUUGAAAAGUCAGAGAGCUUGAUAAAUAUUAAUAGUAUGCUCUCACAAUGAGAGCAUUAAACACUUGGUAAAUUAACAUAAUUUAAUAAAAAAUGAAAAAAUAUACAGGAAGAGGGGUAAGGAGUACACAUAGGACUUUUUGGGACUUUCUUCAUUUUGAUUGUAUUGCUUUCUUCAGGAGGGAAGAUUUUGACUUCAAAAAUAACAAAAUAUUUAAGAAGGGAA